UCAUGCAGCAGCGCGAACUGUCCAGGUGUGUAUGAUGAUUGAUGCAGUUAAAAAGUCCGUAGUUUAUAUUUAAGAAGCAAUAUGAGGUGUACUGUAUAGUUGGGAGAAAGAUGAAAUGUGACGACCCUGACUGGACGAACAGAAGCGAAAGCUGUACACUUGUAUGUAUUUUUU
This 174-nucleotide ribosomal RNA is filed under the name Vairimorpha sp. Its description in RNAcentral is "partial 16S small subunit ribosomal RNA". It matches the Rfam family "Microsporidia small subunit ribosomal RNA", at positions 392 to 627 of the family's 1311-position model. The record is from RNAcentral. Lineage: Eukaryota; Fungi; Microsporidia; Nosematidae.